GGUAGGGUAUUGGCCUACCGUGGCAAUGACGGGUAACGGGGAAUUAGGGUUCGAUUCCGGAGAGGGAGCCUGAGAAACGGCUACCACAUCUAAGGAAGGCAGCAGGCGCGCAAAUUACCCAAUCCUAAUACAGGGAGGUAGUGACAAGAAAUAACAAUACAGGACUUUUUGGUUUUGUAAUUGGAAUGAGUUAAGUAUAAACCCCUUUACAAGUAUCAAUUGGAGGGCAAGUCUGGUGCCAGCAGCCGCGGUAAUUCCAGCUCCAAUAGCGUAUAUUAAAGUUGUUGCAGUUAAAAAGCUCGUAGUUGGAUUUCUGUUAAUAAUUUAUAUAAAAUAUUUUGAUGAAUAUUUAUAUAAUAUUAACAUAAUUCAUAUUACUAUAUUUUUUAGUAUAUGAAAUUUUACUUUGAGAAAAUUAGAGUGCUUAAAGCAGGCAUAUGCCUUGAAUACUCCAGCAUGGAAUAAUAUUAAAGAUUUUUAUCUUUCUUAUUGGUUCUAAGAUAAGAAUAAUGAUUAAUAGGGACAGUUGGGGGCAUUUGUAUUUAACAGUCAGAGU
Molecule: ribosomal RNA, 556 nt
Filed under: Cryptosporidium parvum
Lineage: Eukaryota; Apicomplexa; Conoidasida; Eucoccidiorida; Cryptosporidiidae
Description: SSU rRNA
Rfam family: Eukaryotic small subunit ribosomal RNA
Source: RNAcentral